RNAcentral lists this ribosomal RNA (372 nucleotides) under uncultured organism. RNAcentral describes it as "bacterial SSU rRNA". It matches the Rfam family "Bacterial small subunit ribosomal RNA", at positions 526 to 896 of the family's 1533-position model. The record is from RNAcentral.
CGUAGGGUGCGAGCGUUAAUCGGAAUUACUGGGCGUAAAGCGUGCGCAGGCGGUUUUGUAAGACAGGCGUGAAAUCCCCGGGCUUAACCUGGGAACUGCGUUUGUGACUGCAAGGCUAGAGUACGGCAGAGGGGGGUGGAAUUCCACGUGUAGCAGUGAAAUGCGUAGAGAUGUGGAGGAACACCAAUGGCGAAGGCAGCCCCCUGGGUCGAUACUGACGCUCAUGCACGAAAGCGUGGGUAGCAAACAGGAUUAGAUACCCUGGUAGUCCACGCCCUAAACGAUGUCAACUAGGUGUUGGAAGGGUAAAACCUUUUAGUACCGUAGCUAACGCGAGAAGUUGACCGCCUGGGGAGUACGGCCGCAAGGUUA